AGGUAACAGAUUGUAAUAAAAUAAUGGUUAAAUUGGAUUUUCAUUGUGUUCAAUGGUGUUAUUUGCCCCCUAGUGGCGCUUUCUGGUACUUAGAAAGACGACGCAAACAGGAAGUACAGAAUUUGUUUUGCACGCAUAGAAGCAGCUACAAACAACGCUACGGUGCAGGUCUUUCAAUGUAGUUAUUUCUUGUCACGCUUCAGCCUUGGAAACAUAUUUGUUUCAGCCUCCUGUACUCAGCGAUCUCCAUCUCCAGCCUCAUCUUGAUGUCCAGGAGGAUCUGGUACUCGGAGGCCUGCUGCUGGAUGCUGACGUUGAGCUGCUGCAGCUCCUCCUCCAUGCUGUUGAUACAAACCUGCAGCUGGCUCAGCUGGGAGCCGUGGCGGCCGUUUAUAUCAGCGACGCUCUGCUCCAGGCAUGUCAAUGGGUGGAUUGUUGGUGUGCGUCCUCAUGGCAGCGCUAGUGGGGGUUGGUUUGACAUCACCCGUAUCCAAGUCGGAUGGCAACACCAAACAGGGUGGGAUACUGCCACAGCUACUGGCCAGGAGGGAGGGAGUGUGGAAUGCUGCGGAGAACGUCGCUAAGCGGGAGCAAGACACUCAAAUGAGCAUGGCACGGAUGGCGAGGACGGCGCACCUGUCGGAGGACCAGCGCGAGUUCAUGUCCAAGCAAAUCAAGCAGGCCAUCUCAGGUUUGUAUUGUUCGCAGAGUUGAUAAACGAGUGUCCGGGCCGGGACUACCAAGGAUGGGUCGACUUUGGACGGCGGAGUGCAGAGUAGAGACGUACCAAAGGCCAACUGAGGAACGUCUGCCUGCACUGGCGUUACUCAGGAAUACAUCCCUAUUUGAAAUAGAUUGUAUAUAUUUUAAUUUGCUUAUAUUGAUUUUUAUCCAAGUGUCAAAAUAAACAUGUUUGCAGUA
RNA transcript from Oncorhynchus tshawytscha (Chinook salmon), 921 nucleotides. It is a transcript of the gene named cholecystokinin-like, with no coding region annotated. NCBI's taxonomy places the organism in Eukaryota, Metazoa, Chordata, Actinopteri, Salmoniformes, Salmonidae. The record is from RefSeq and is a predicted model, not a curated record. The transcript is spliced from 4 exons.